This 406-nucleotide ribosomal RNA is filed under the name uncultured bacterium. Its description in RNAcentral is "partial 16S ribosomal RNA". It matches the Rfam family "Bacterial small subunit ribosomal RNA", at positions 28 to 526 of the family's 1533-position model. The record is from RNAcentral.
GAUGAACGCUAGCGACAGGCUUAACACAUGCAAGUCGAGCGAGCGGCGCACGGGUGAGUUACACGUAUCCACCCUCCGCUUUACUCGGGGAUAGCCUUUCGUAAGAAAGAUUAAUACCCGCUGUAAAGGAUGGGGAUGGGUUCUAUUGGGUUGUUGGUGAGGUAACGGCUCACCAAGGCUUCGAUGGAUAGGGGUUCGGAGAGGAAGGGCCCCGAGAUUGGAACUGAGACACGGGCCAAACUCCUACGGGCGGCAGCAGUGAGGGAUAUUGGUCAGUGGGCUUUAGCCUGACCCGGCCAAGUAGCGUGAAGGAUGGCGGCGUAUGGAUCGUAAACUUCGUUUUGAUAAGAGUCUGUAUUAGCUGAAUAAGGAUCGGCUAACUACGUGCCAGCAGCCGCGGUAAUAC